Molecule: ribosomal RNA, 773 nt
Filed under: uncultured Streptococcus sp.
Lineage: Bacteria; Bacillati; Bacillota; Bacilli; Lactobacillales; Streptococcaceae
Description: bacterial SSU rRNA
Rfam family: Bacterial small subunit ribosomal RNA
Source: RNAcentral
GACGAACGCUGGCGGCGUGCCUAAUACAUGCAAGUAGAACGCACAGUUUAUACCGUAGCUUGCUACACCAUAGACUGUGAGUUGCGAAUGGGUGAGUAACGCGUAGGUAACCUGCCUGGUAGCGGGGGAUAACUAUUGGAAACGAUAGCUAAUACCGCAUAAUAUUAAUUAUUGCAUGAUAAUUGAUUGAAAGGUGCAAAUGCAUCACUACCAGAUGGACCUGCGUUGUAUUAGCUAGUAGGUGAGGUAACGGCUCACCUAGGCGACGAUACAUAGCCGACCUGAGAGGGUGAUCGGCCACACUGGGACUGAGACACGGCCCAGACUCCUACGGGAGGCAGCAGUAGGGAAUCUUCGGCAAUGGACGAAAGUCUGACCGAGCAACGCCGCGUGAGUGAAGAAGGUUUUCGGAUCGUAAAGCUCUGUUGUAAGAGAAGAACGGGUGUGAGAGUGGAAAGUUCACACUGUGACGGUAUCUUACCAGAAAGGGACGGCUAACUACGUGCCAGCAGCCGCGGUAAUACGUAGGUCCCGAGCGUUGUCCGGAUUUAUUGGGCGUAAAGCGAGCGCAGGCGGUUAGAUAAGUCUGAAGUUAAAGGCUGUGGCUUAACCAUAGUACGCUUUGGAAACUGUUUAACUUGAGUGCAGAAGGGGAGAGUGGAAUUCCAUGUGUAGCGGUGAAAUGCGUAGAUAUAUGGAGGAACACCGGUGGCGAAAGCGGCUCUCUGGUCUGUAACUGACGCUGAGGCUCGAAAGCGUGGGGAGCGAACAGG